CCCUUAGAUGUUCGGGGCCGCACGCGCGCUACACUGAGGGGAUCAGCGUGUGUAUGUCCUGGCCCGUUAGGGCUGGGUAACCCGUUGAACCCCCCUCGUGCUAGGGAUCGGGGCUUGAAAUUCUUCCCCGUGAACGAGGAAUUCCCAGUACAUGCGAGUCAUCAGCUCGCAUUGAUUACGUCCCUGCCCUUUGUACACACCGCCCGUCGCUACUACCGAUUGGAUGGUUUAGUGAGAACGUUGGAUCGGCAGCUGGCGAGGUUUCCGAGCCGGCACGCCGAGAAGACGUUCGAACUUGAUCAUCUAGAGGGAGUAAAANUCGUANCA
This 327-nucleotide ribosomal RNA is filed under the name uncultured eukaryote. RNAcentral's name for it is "partial 18S ribosomal RNA". It matches the Rfam family "Eukaryotic small subunit ribosomal RNA", at positions 1470 to 1796 of the family's 1831-position model. The record is from RNAcentral.